Molecule: long non-coding RNA, 165 nt
Organism: Etheostoma cragini (Arkansas darter)
Lineage: Eukaryota; Metazoa; Chordata; Actinopteri; Perciformes; Percidae
Exons: 3
Source: RefSeq, a predicted model, not a curated record
UGAUGCUCGUCAUGUUUAUGGAUGCAAUGGGACUGUGCUAAGCUAAAUGCUAAAGACGGAAAGUUGCCGAUUUUCAACUCUUCUGAAGCGAGUCAUCCAGUGGAGAUUUACCGGCUGGUAAGAGCAGACCUCCGUGUACUGCCACCAUUCAACAGCAUGUACAGC